This 1038-nucleotide long non-coding RNA is filed under the name Homo sapiens (human). RNAcentral's name for it is "long non-coding RNA NONHSAT173911.1". The record is from RNAcentral. Lineage: Eukaryota; Metazoa; Chordata; Mammalia; Primates; Hominidae.
GCCCGCGCGCCCGCGCGGCGGAGGAGAUCCCUUCGUCGCCGCGGCUCUCGUCCGGGACACGGCUUUCCGGAGUAGAGCCCUUGGAGGUGUUAAGUGUGAUGCUUCCAUAAUACAUUUGGAUGCUGUCAGCUAAGUUCACUUCUGAACUAAGGGGUUCCUCCAAAUGUUGGCUGAAAUUCAUCCCAAGGCUGGUCUGCAGUUACCUAUUUCUUUUAAGAAUAAAUUUAGUGGGAAUAUCAGUUCCAGUCAUGGGUACCAAACUUUUUUAGUGACAGAGUACACACAGAGUCUGCAAUUCAUAAUGGAGCUACUGUACUGGCUAUUGGAAGGAGGAGAUUCUGAAGAUAAGGAGAUGUUACAGUGGCAGUUGCACUGACUGUUAAGUGUUUAAAUGAUGACACCAUUAUGUGAAGUGAUUUUGAAAUGAGAGAUUCCAGCCAGUCCAUCAAGGUGUCUGAAGAUUUUAUGCCUAGGUAUCUCCAUAUCUAACUUGAUAAGGAAAAUAGGAUAAACAAUGCUGGUAAUAGCAGGAAAGUAAGUAUUUGAAUAAGAUGUCAAACUGAUAUUUCAUGUGAACCUAACUCAUUUUAUGGUAACUAAUGGUAAAACCUGUUUAGAAAUUAAAAAUGAGUUACGAUUUAAAGAAAAUUCAGAUGACUCAUUGUGAGUGCUAGUUCUCUUGUAGGAUGCCACUGGAAAUGUUGAAAUGAAAAAGAUUCAGCCGUUGGUCUUUGAAAUUUCCUGUGAUGUGUUUCAAUCUAGAUGCAAAGAACAUGGAAAAAUCAAAGUGCUCGAGUGGUUUAAAUAUGUUUUGGGUAUUCCUGUUUAUAGACUAUAAUACUUUUCCAAUUAAAAUCCUCAGUUGUCACGCAGAAGAAGGUUAAGCUGUAUUUGAUUGCCAGUUUUACUGAAAAUGCUUAGUAUUUUACAGUAUCACCAAAUAUAUUUUGUUUAGCCAAGGUAUAGGAAAAAUAAAAUAAAUUGUAUAGGUUGACUUUUUUCUAAAAUGUCUUUAUUGGAUUGAAUGAAUGUUUAUAC